Molecule: long non-coding RNA, 204 nt
Filed under: Mus musculus (house mouse)
Lineage: Eukaryota; Metazoa; Chordata; Mammalia; Rodentia; Muridae
Description: ilncRNA-EC70
Source: RNAcentral
GUUUAUGUUAAAUUAAAAUUCUCUCCACAAUCCAUGACAAUAAAAAAAUAAACAUCAACUCUGCAUGACAACUGAGUCUUUUCCGAAUCCCAGCACAUCAUUGAAACGGAAAGAAGCUGCCAACAAUUUAGGGAGAAAUCCACAGAUGUUCUGUGCAUGUGUCAGUGUGAUGGGAAAUUGCAUUGUCUUCAUAGAGUCAAAGAG